RNAcentral lists this long non-coding RNA (609 nucleotides) under Hordeum vulgare. RNAcentral's name for it is "long non-coding RNA (HVUL_LNC006233)". Lineage: Eukaryota; Viridiplantae; Streptophyta; Magnoliopsida; Poales; Poaceae. The record is from RNAcentral.
UUUUCCUUGACAACAUUGAGAUGCAAACAUGCCCCUCUCAUUUCUAUUUACUCUGCAUAUUAUAUAUGUCUCAAGAACAAUUUUUUAAAUCAUGUCUAAGUUUAUACAAAACAACCAUCAGAAUAAUCGUGAAUAUAUUUCCACAUCAUAUAUAUUUGUUAUUCUGAAAGUUUAUAUUGUCUUCGAACAUUUAAUUUAUGAACUUUGAAUUAGAUCAGAGCUAAUAUGUAGAGUAAAUAAAAACAGAGGAAGUACUUUGAACUAAUUAUGGCGUGUUUGGUUCACGUUGUCACUUGCAUGAGGUGUCGCAUAUCAACUCGGCGUGUCCCUGCUCAGCCUGGUCAAGUCAAUGAAAGAAUCAAACUUUGGCCGAACCUUAUAAAUUAGACCCACAAAUGCAUUCUCAAAUCUUAACUCCUUAAAUUUGAGGAGUUGAAAACAUGUGGUUUCUAGCCAAACUAUUAUAGUUUUACUCCCUAAAACCUUAUUGCACGCAAAUUUAUUUCAAACAGAAAUUGAAACUACUUGAUUGAAACGCAAAUUUAAACAAAAGUAUCACAAUUCAAUACAUUGCAAAACAUGAAUUUGAACUGCCCGGCUGUUUUUUUU